Molecule: ribosomal RNA, 253 nt
Filed under: uncultured bacterium
Lineage: Bacteria
Description: partial 16S ribosomal RNA
Rfam family: Bacterial small subunit ribosomal RNA
Source: RNAcentral
UACGAAGGGGGCUAGCGUUGUUCGGGAUUACUGGGCGGAAAGGGCGCGUAGGCCGCGCGUUAAGUCAGGUGUGAACGCCCUGGGCUCAACCCAGGAAUUGCACUUGAUACUGACGUGCUUGAGUCCGGAAGAGGAUGACGGAAUUCCCAGUGUAGAGGUGAAAUUCAUUGAUAUUGGGAAGAACACCAGUGGCGAAGGCGGUCAUCUGGUCCGGUAUUGACGCUGAGGUGCGAAAGCGUGGGGAGCAAACAGG